RNAcentral lists this ribosomal RNA (491 nucleotides) under uncultured bacterium. Its description in RNAcentral is "partial 16S ribosomal RNA". It matches the Rfam family "Bacterial small subunit ribosomal RNA", at positions 29 to 506 of the family's 1533-position model. The record is from RNAcentral.
AGUGGACGCUGGCGGUAGGCCUAACACAUGCAAGUCGAACGGCAGCACAGUAAGAGCUUGCUCUUACGGGUGGCGAGUGGCGGACGGGUGAGGAAUACAUCGGAAUCUACUUUUUCGUGGGGGAUAACGUAGGGAAACUUACGCUAAUACCGCAUACGACCUACGGGUGAAAGCAGGGGAUCUUCGGACCUUGCGCGAUUGAAUGAGCCGAUGUCGGAUUAGCUAGUUGGCGGGGUAAAGGCCCACCAAGGCGACGAUCCGUAGCUGGUCUGAGAGGAUGAUCAGCCACACUGGAACUGAGACACGGUCCAGACUCCUACGGGAGGCAGCAGUGGGGAAUAUUGGACAAUGGGCGCAAGCCUGAUCCAGCCAUACCGCGUGGGUGAAGAAGGCCUUCGGGUUGUAAAGCCCUUUUGUUGGGAAAGAAAAGCAGCAGGUUAAGACCCCGCUGUUCUGACGGUACCCAAAGAAUAAGCACCGGCUAACUUCGU